GGCUCCCGUAGGAGUUCGGUCGAAGUCUACCUGCAAUUAAAGUCAAGAGCGAAGUUCAGCUCCCUUAGGAGUCCAGACAAAGCUUACCAGCAGUCGAGGUUGAGGAUGAAGCCCGGCUCCCGUGGGAGUCUGGGCAAAGCCUUCCAGCCGUUGAGGUUGGGGACGAAGUCCGGCUCCCGUAGGAGUCCGGGCGAAGCCUUCCAGCUGUUGAGGUUGGAGACGAAGUCCGGCUCCCGUAGGAGUCCGGACGGAGUCUAUCUGCAAUCAAAGUCAGGGAUGAAGUCCGGCUCCCUUAGGAGUCCGGACGAAAUUUACCAGUAGUCAAANNNNNNNNNNNNNNNNNNNNCAGUCGAGGUUGAGGAUGAAGCCCGGCGUCCCGUGGGAGUCUGGGCAAAGCCUUCCAGCCGUUGAGGUUGGGACGAAGUCCGGCUCCCGUAGGAGUCCGGGCGAAGCCUUCCAGCUGUUGAGGUUGGAGACGAAGUCCGGCUCCCGUAGGAGUCC
Molecule: long non-coding RNA, 501 nt
Filed under: Elaeis guineensis (African oil palm)
Lineage: Eukaryota; Viridiplantae; Streptophyta; Magnoliopsida; Arecales; Arecaceae
Description: long non-coding RNA (EGUI_LNC035081)
Source: RNAcentral